This is a long non-coding RNA of Sarcophilus harrisii (Tasmanian devil), 5678 nucleotides long. The record is from Ensembl. Lineage: Eukaryota; Metazoa; Chordata; Mammalia; Dasyuromorphia; Dasyuridae.
UCUGCCCCGAAAGCCGGCCCCUCUACCCCGCCAUGACCUCCUGCCUGCCCCGGCCGCAGGCCACCCUCUAUCUCCGGGCCGAGCUUCCCGCCGAGCCCCACGCCAUCCCCUACCUCCCCGGGCCCCACACCUGGCCCUCCCUGGUCCUGGCCGACAGCCCGCCGCAGGCCCCCAUCGUCAUCCCCGGGGAGCCCCCGCCGCAGCCGCCCGUCGUCGUGCCCCCCGACGACCCCCCCAAGCACCCCGCGGUGGUCCACCCGGACCCCGUAAAGAAGCCCACCAUCUUCUGGAUGGAGGAGCCCGCUCCCAACCUCCCCUCCAUCAUGGGCGUCCCGACCCGCCCCAAGCAGCCCCUGCGUCUGCCCACCCCGGGGAGGCGCAGCAGGUCGGAGCCCCGAAGUUCGAAGCCCCUUCUCCUAAUGCGGGACGCUGCUGCUCCGGCUCCCGACAGCUCGGGAACCCCUCCUUCUCCCGCUCCCGACAGCUCUACGGCCCUUCUUUCACCCGCCCCCGACAGCUCAGGGACCCCUCCUUCUCCCGCCCCCGACAGCUCGGGGACCCUUCCUGCCCCCACCCCCGACAGCUCUGCAACCCCUCCUUCCCCCGCCCCAGACAGCUCAGGGACCCUCCUUUCCCUCGCCCCCGACAGCUCAGCGAUACCUCCUUCCCCCUCACCUGCCAACUCGGUGAUCCGCCUUUCUCCCGCCCCCGACAGCUCUGCGCCCCUUCCUUCCCCGGUCCCCGACAGCUCUGCGCCCCUUCCUUCAGCCCCAGACAGCUCUGUCGCAACUCCUUCCCUGGCUCCCCACAGCUCCGCCACCCCUCCUUCCGUCCCCGACAGCUCUGUGACCCCUCCUUCCCUGGCCCCCGACAGCUCUGCGAGCCCGCCUUCCAUCCCCGACAGCUCGGGGACCCUUCUUUCCCCAGCCCCGGACAGCUCGAUGGCCCCACCUUUCCCCGCCCCCGACAGCUCGGUGAACCCUUUUUUCCCUGCCCCCGACAGCUCGGUGACCCCUCCUUCCGCCCCCGACAGCUCGGGGACCCCUUACAGUUCUGGGUCCCCCCCCAGCCGAGGCUCCAGCAUUGCCUCCAGGGGCCACUUGGGGACUCCUGCUGCUCCCCACCUGGUGCUCACUCCCGGGAGUCGCUCGGAAACCCCUCCCAGUUUCCGCGCAGUGCUCACCUCCGGGAGUCACUGGGUAAACCAUUCUAGUCCCCACCCCGUGCUCACCUCCGGGAGUCACUCGGGGAGUCCUCCUAGUCCCCGGGCUGUGCUCAUAUUCAGGAGUCACUCGGGGAGUCGUCCUAGUCCCCGGGCCGUGCUCACCUCCGGGAGUCGCAAGGGGAGUCCUCCUAGUCCCCGCGCCGUGCUCACCUCCAGGAGGCCCUCGGGGAGCCCUCCGAGUCACGCGGGGAGUCCUCCUAGUCCCCGAGCUGUGCUCAGACCUGGGAAUGUGAGGACCCCUCCUGGUUCUCAAGCCGGGCUCCCCUCUGAGAAUUAUUUGUCGACAUCUGUCUCGGGGACUCCUCCUAGCCUGCGCGCGCUCAUGGCUUCUAGAGGCGGUCUGGAGCCCCCUCCUCACCCCAAAAGACUCAGCAUCUCAGGGGGACCCGCGAAGCCCCCUUCUCAUCCGGGGGGCCUUAGCAUCUUUAGGAAGCGUCUGGAAGCCCCUGCUCCCCCGCAAACCCUCAGCGUCUCUGGGAGUCGUCCAGAGCCCCUUCCUCGGGCCAAAGCCCCCACUUUAAAAUCCCUCCUCAAGCGCCCCAACAAGGUGACGGAGGCUUUGGCGGCUGAGGCCGCCCGGCCCUACUGGAUCACUGUCCUGAAGAACCACAGGGACCCUGGCCCCAAGACGGAGCCUUUGGUUUACCCCUCCCUCCUCAAGGCUGAUCCUCCUCCUCCUCUGCCCUUCAUCAUAGUGUCUGAGCCCCAACAAACUCCACCCCCUUUCUUCAAGAGUGAGCCUCAGAUGCCCGUUCCCUCUAACGUCAGUUCUGAGGGUCUUCCUUGCCCCCCCAUCUUCUAUAUUGAGCCUUCAGUUCGCGUCCCCCCCAUCAUCAGGUUCGAGUCCCCCAUCCUCAGACCUGAGACUCCUCCCGACUCCUCCAGUUCAGAGCCUCUUCCCGACUCCUCCAAUAGCUCUGAGCCUACUCCUGACUCCUCUAGUUCUGAGCCUACUCUCGACUCCAUCAGCAGGGCUGAGCCUCCUCCAGACUCCAUCAUCACCAGGGAUGAGCCUCCUCCCGACUUCUCCAUUGGCUCUGAGCCGCCUCCUGACUCCAUCACCAGGGCUGAGCCGCCUCCUGACUCCAUCUCUAAGCUGGAUUCUUCCAUCACCUCUGAGCCUACUUCUGACAACCCCAUGAGCUCUGAGCCGCCUCCUGACUCCAUCCCCAAGGCUGAGCCUCCUCCCGACUCCUCCAUCCCCUCUGAGCUUUCUCCUGACUCCCCCAUCACCUCUGAACCUCCUCCCGACUCCCCCAUCACCUCUGAACCUCCUCCCGAUGCCAUCACCUCUGAGCCUCCUCCCGAUUCUCCCAUCAUCAGCUCUGAACCCGAUUCUUCCAUCAAUUCUAAGCCUACUUCUGACUCCAAUGCUGAGCCUCCUCCCAACUCCGCCAUCAUCAGCUCUGAGCCCCCUCCUGACUCUCCCAUCAUCAGCUCUGAGCUUCCUCCUGACUCCAUUUCCAAGACUAAACUUUCUCUUGAUCCUUUUAUCAACAGCUUUGAGCCCUCUUCAAGCCAUUAGUUUUGAACCCCUUAUUCCUCUCCCCUCAUCUCUGAACCCUCUCUUCACCCCACUCUCCCAUCAACAGCUCUCAGCUCCCUUCUUACCCCAAUCAGGAUCUCCUCUCCGGUUCCUCCAUCAGCUACAUUAGCUUUGAGCUAAUUUAUCCUCCCUCUCUUCUAUUGCCUCUGAUCCCCCUCCCUAUACCACACUUAUUAUACCUCUGGGCCCCCUUUUCUCCUCCCUUCCAUCAUUAGCUCUGAACCCCCUAUUCCUUUACAACCAUCAUUGAUCCUGAGCCCCCUCCUCACCCCUCCAUAAGUUCUCAGCCUCUUUUCCAUUCCUUAUUAUCAGAUCUUAACCCCUUAAUUAGUUUUGAGCCCCUUUUCAGAACUUUACUUUUUCCUGUACUAAGCACUGAGCCUGAAAGACCCUAGUCCUCCCUGUUCUAGGCCUCGUCUUCUCUAACUCUGAGCCCCCUUUUUCUCACUAUCUUUAUUCCCCUCAGCUUUGAGCCAGUCCUCAGGACCCCUGAGACCCCUUUAGCUCUGAGCCCUCUUUUCAUCUUCUUCUCCCAGCUCCAAAUAGACAUUUUCUAGCCUCCUUAAACACAAAUUGCCCCUACCCUAGCUCUGAGCUUCAUGUCCCCCCCUUGCUCAGAUUAGCCUUUCCAGCUCCAAUUCCCAUUCUUCCCUUUCAACAUUGCCCCAUUUUCCAAGUCUCUCUUGCUCCUAUCCUUGCAUGGCCCUGUUCCCCCUUGGCAGAGACACAGAAGGUCAGUGUUACUUUGUGAAAGUCUAGAGAAUACUUUAGGAGUUCAUAAAUAAGCUUAAUGUUGUUUAUAACUUUCAAUAUGAUCGCUACUAUUUUGUAUUUUAUGCAUUAAAAACCAGAAAGGAUCCCUAGGUUUCCCCAGACUACCCCGUUGGUCCAGGAUACAAAAAACACUAACCCCUCCCUCCCAACCUCAAGGAGACCUUUUCUGGAAACAAAGCGUAUCUGCUUCUGCCUUGCCUCAGAAACAAAAGACAUGGACCAAAGGAAGACCCAAAGUUGAGCAUGUGUUGAGCUGCAGUCAACAAGACUCGCUUCCUGGUGCUGACAUGCAUUCAGCUCCCCAAGUGAAGAUCCCAGCUAGAGAGAUGGUGUCGCUUAAUAAGAAGUCCGUGACAUUCAAGGAUGUUGCUGUGGAUUUCACCGAGGAGGAAUGGAGACGCCUGAACCCUGCUCAGAGGCAGCUGUACAGGGAUGUGAUGCUGGAGAACUACAGAAACCUAAUUUUUCUAGAGGGAGGGGAAGAGCCAUGGACAGUGGAGAGAGAAAUCUCAGGAAGCACCUGUGCAGUGCAGCUUCGCCUCCAGCUCCUGACUCUCGGGCCCAUCAUGUCCACCUGGGGCUCAUUCUUCUAGGCUCUUCUUGGUGCCCACGAGUUCCCAGAGGCAGGUUGCUAAAGAGCUGGUUCCCUAGGAGGGUCUGAGCACUGUGUUCUGGAGCCUGAGCAGAACAUGCAGAGAAGGGACCACAGCUGGAAGGUGGGAGGAGAUCUGAUGGAGGAUAAGGGCAAGGAUAAGAUGACCACCCUCUGGGAGCCCGGGAGAAGUACAGAAAGACCUUCUGAGAGGACAGAGCUGGUGACGGGUGCCCGAAGCUUGCUGUGAGCCAGGAAGAACUCUAGGAAAGGAAUGGCGGGCAGGGACAGCAACCACUCACCUGCCCAGAGUGUCAAGAGGGAAGGGGCGCUAUGUGGGGGAGCAAACUCCUUUUUCCAUUUUGUUUUUCAGUUGACAAGUAUUUUUUCUUUAUCUUCCUAGCCCCUCCUACCAUUUAAUAGGAAAACAAAACUCUUACAACAAAUACAUAUCAGGCAAAACAGAUUUCCAGUAUCCCAACAGAGUCCCAGUAUCCAUAUUCAAAAAUACUCUCAUUCUGUUUGUUGAAUCCAUCACCUGUCAGGUAAUCAGGACAGAUCAUCCUAAUUCCUCUGGAAUCACGGUCACUCAUUAAUCAAAGAUCUUGAAUCUUCCAGAAUUGUUUAUAUUUUUAUAAAACUGUUAAAUUAUAGGAAUGGUUAGAGAAUCAUUAUAAACCCUUGCUUUUAGCUGAUACAAGGAAGUCCUCUAAGUCUCUAAGGAGAUAAUGGUAGCUCAUUGAUGGAUAUUCUUUCUUAUGGGUUUGGCUAAGAGUUCUGUUUCCAUUAACUCAUGAAUAAGAUUGUUCUGUAGUUCAUUGAUGGCUAUUCUUUUCUCUGGGCUUGGACGUUAGCUCUGUAGAUUUCUAGUAACUUGCAAAUAAAAUUGUUCGUGUUAUGAGACUUGUGAGCCCAUGUGCUUGUAAGAAGAUCUGGUGGUUACUGUUGAGAUGUCAUACUGAUGUUCCCAAAUCAUCAGGAGACAGGAAGUAAGAAGAGUUUAGAGGAUCCCAAAGUGUACUCAAAAUCUCAAAAUCAGGAAGGUUUUUCUGACAGGUUUUUGCCACAUUAUUUUCUUCCCAGAGUCACAUGGGUACACUCCGAGUCUGGCUUGCUUCUUCCUCCUGUUUUUACUUCUUAGUCACACCAAGAUAGAAAUGCAGUCCAUAUUUCCUUCAGACCCUUCCUAAAAUGUAAUCCAUUACUUUCCCCCUUCUCUACAAUGGAGCUAAUAAUUUUGACAGCCAACCAAAGUGACUGAUCUGUGUCUACAAUCUUAGAUUCAGUGGACUAUUUGGGCUGUGGAUCUCAAGGGAUAUUAAACAUCUUUACAAAGUCGCCAAAUGGGCGACUAUUUUUUUUAAAAAUCUACCAAAUAAAAAUGAGCAUUUCUAUAUUUGAAGUAAGACAGAAAGAGCGUCUUACAUGAACCUGUAAAUUUUACUUUCCCUUUUAAAUUAAUAUAGGACUUGGCAAGUUGUCAUCUUUGUGUCAAUUCUGUGCAUUUAAAAAAUGCUUCAAAGACUUUUUCUUUUACAACC